AGGGAAUCUUCCACAAUGGGCGAAAGCCUGAUGGAGCAACGCCGCGUGUGUGAUGAAGGCUUUCGGGUCGUAAAGCACUGUUGUAUGGGAAGAACAGCUAGAAUAGGGAAUGAUUUUAGUUUGACGGUACCAUACCAGAAAGGGACGGCUAAAUACGUGCCAGCAGCCGCGGUAAUACGUAUGUCCCGAGCGUUAUCCGGAUUUAUUGGGCGUAAAGCGAGCGCAGACGGUUGAUUAAGUCUGAUGUGAAAGCCCGGAGCUCAACUCCGGAAUGGCAUUGGAAACUGGUUAACUUGAGUGCAGUAGAGGUAAGUGGAACUCCAUGUGUAGCGGUGGAAUGCGUAGAUAUAUGGAAGAACACCAGUGGCGAAGGCGGCUUACUGGACUGCAACUGACGUUGAGGCUCGAAAGUGUGGGUAGCAAACAGGAUUAGAUACCCUGGUAGUCCACACCGUAAACGAUGAACACUAGGUGUUAGGAGGUUUCCGCCUCUUAGUGCCGAAGCUAACGCAUUAAGUGUUCCGCCUGGGGAGUACGACCGCAAGGUUGAAACUCAAAGGAAUUGACGGGGACCCGCACAAGCGGUGGAGCAUGUGGUUUAAUUCGAAGCAACGCGAAGAACCUUACCAGGUCUUGACAUCCUUUGAAGCUUUUAGAGAUAGAAGUGUUCUCUUCGGAGACAAAGUGACAGGUGGUGCAUGGUCGUCGUCAGCUCGUGUCGUGAGAUGUUGGGUUAAGUCCCGCAACGAGCGCAACCCUUAUUGUUAGUUGCCAGCAUUCAGAUGGGCACUCUAGCGAGACUGCCGGUGACA
This 812-nucleotide ribosomal RNA is filed under the name uncultured bacterium. Its description in RNAcentral is "bacterial SSU rRNA". It matches the Rfam family "Bacterial small subunit ribosomal RNA", at positions 356 to 1160 of the family's 1533-position model. The record is from RNAcentral.